AAGGCCAAGCUGAUGACUUUGCCUGACGCGCUGAGAGGUGGCGCAUGGCCGUCGCCAGCUCGUGCCGUGAGGUGUCUGGUUAAGUCCAGGAACGAGCGAGACCCUCACCCUUAGUUGCGACCGCGAAAGCGGGCACACUAAGGGGACCGCCACCGUUAAGGUGGAGGAAGGAGGGGGCAACGGCAGGUCAGCAUGCCCCGAAUCACCUGGGCCGCACGCGGGCUGCAAUGGUGGAGACAAUGGGAUCCGAACCCGAAAGGGGGAGGUAAUCCUUGAAACUCCACCGUAGUUGGGAUCGAGGGCUGCAACCCGCCCUCGUGAACCUGGAAUCCCCAGUAAUCGCGUGUCAUCAUCGCGCGGUGAACA
This 366-nucleotide ribosomal RNA is filed under the name uncultured archaeon. Its description in RNAcentral is "bacterial SSU rRNA". It matches the Rfam family "Archaeal small subunit ribosomal RNA", at positions 950 to 1324 of the family's 1478-position model. The record is from RNAcentral.